AUUGAACGCUGGCGGCAUGCUUUACACAUGCAAGUCGAACGGCAGCGCGGGCUUCGGCCUGGCGGCGAGUGGCGAACGGGUGAGUAAUGCAUCGGAACGUGCCCAGUAGUGGGGGAUAGCCCGGCGAAAGCCGGAUUAAUACCGCAUACGACCUGAGGGUGAAAGCGGGGGACCGAAAGGCCUCGCACUAUUGGAGCGGCCGAUGUCGGAUUAGCUAGUUGGUGGGGUAAAGGCUUACCAAGGCGACGAUCCGUAGCUGGUCUGAGAGGACGACCAGCCACACUGGGACUGAGACACGGCCCAGACUCCUACGGGAGGCAGCAGUGGGGAAUUUUGGACAAUGGGGGCAACCCUGAUCCAGCCAUGCCGCGUGAGGGAAGAAGGCCUUCGGGUUGUAAACCGCUUUUGUUCGGGAAGAAAUCCUCUGGGCUAAUACCCCGGGGGGAUGACGGUACCGGAAGAAUAAGCACCGGCUAACUACGUG
This 484-nucleotide ribosomal RNA is filed under the name uncultured bacterium. Its description in RNAcentral is "partial 16S ribosomal RNA". It matches the Rfam family "Bacterial small subunit ribosomal RNA", at positions 29 to 507 of the family's 1533-position model. The record is from RNAcentral.